UGAAUUGCCUUGGUAACUGUGUUGAAAAUUGACAAUGAUCACCCAGUCUGCAUUCUGAGGUCUUCUGAUGUUGCCCUCUCUAUGCUUGUUCUUGGAGAAGGUCGGUCAUGUAAGCGCUUGUAGGAGUGAGACUCAUCUUACCAAGUCUGCCAGUUGUCUAAAGGAAAAUGUGCAAAUAUCAAGGUUACCUGGGUCUGCUGGUCACUUCUAGUUUUUGGACUCGUGAAGAUGACUGGAUUUGUCAAUGCGCGGCAGGCAACCAGUGGAAAGUUGAUGAAAAUCACCCAGAAGGAAAUCAAAGGCAAGGAUCCAUGCACAGGAGAAACAUUGGCUUAAGUACCAGUGAGCUGUCAACAUUCCUCCGGGAUGUCUUGAGAGAGCGUGUUGUGAAACUGAGCAUCCGCCCAUUGCCUUGUGCCAGAGAUUAAUGAAACAAACGAGAUAGAGACACCAACGGUAUUAAGCACCUGCUGUGACCGCAGCACUGAGGUCCUGGAGAAAACAGAUAGGAUCCAGUGGUGUUGCCCUGAAGAGCUUAUCAUCUG
This is a long non-coding RNA of Choloepus didactylus (southern two-toed sloth), 545 nucleotides long. RefSeq lists it as uncharacterized. The record is from RefSeq and is a predicted model, not a curated record. The transcript has 6 exons. Lineage: Eukaryota; Metazoa; Chordata; Mammalia; Pilosa; Megalonychidae.